This 1358-nucleotide ribosomal RNA is filed under the name uncultured bacterium. RNAcentral's name for it is "bacterial SSU rRNA". It matches the Rfam family "Bacterial small subunit ribosomal RNA", at positions 28 to 1381 of the family's 1533-position model. The record is from RNAcentral.
GAUGAACGCUAGCUACAGGCUUAACACAUGCAAGUCGAGGGGCAGCAUGGUCUUAGCUUGCUAAGGCCGAUGGCGACCGGCGCACGGGUGAGUAACACGUAUCCAACCUGCCGUCUACUCUUGGACAGCCUUCUGAAAGGAAGAUUAAUACAAGAUGGCAUCAUGAGUCCACAUGUUCACAUGAUUAAGGGUAUUCCGGUAGACGAUGGGGAUGCGUUCCAUUAGAUAGUAGGCGGGGUAACGGCCCACCUAGUCUUCGAUGGAUAGGGGUUCUGAGAGGAAGGUCCCCCACAUUGGAACUGAGACACGGUCCAAACUCCUACGGGAGGCAGCAGUGAGGAAUAUUGGUCAAUGGGCGAGAGCCUGAACCAGCCAAGUAGCGUGAAGGAUGACUGCCCUAUGGGUUGUAAACUUCUUUUAUAAAGGAAUAAAGUCGGGUAUGGAUACCCGUUUGCAUGUACUUUAUGAAUAAGGAUCGGCUAACUCCGUGCCAGCAGCCGCGGUAAUACGGAGGAUCCGAGCGUUAUCCGGAUUUAUUGGGUUUAAAGGGAGCGUAGAUGGAUGUUUAAGUCAGUUGUGAAAGUUUGCGGCUCAACCGUAAAAUUGCAGUUGAUACUGGAUAUCUUGAGUGCAGUUGAGGCAGGCGGAAUUCGUGGUGUAGCGGUGAAAUGCUUAGAUAUCACGAAGAACUCCGAUUGCGAAGGCAGCCUGCUAAGCUGCAACUGACAUUGAGGCUCGAAAGUGUGGGUAUCAAACAGGAUUAGAUACCCUGGUAGUCCACACGGUAAACGAUGAAUACUCGCUGUUUGCGAUAUACAGCAAGCGGCCAAGCGAAAGCGUUAAGUAUUCCACCUGGGGAGUACGCCGGCAACGGUGAAACUCAAAGGAAUUGACGGGGGCCCGCACAAGCGGAGGAACAUGUGGUUUAAUUCGAUGAUACGCGAGGAACCUUACCCGGGCUUAAAUUGCAGAUGAAUUACGGUGAAAGCCGUAAGCCGCAAGGCAUCUGUGAAGGUGCUGCAUGGUUGUCGUCAGCUCGUGCCGUGAGGUGUCGGCUUAAGUGCCAUAACGAGCGCAACCCUUGUUGUCAGUUACUAACAGGUUCCGCUGAGGACUCUGACAAGACUGCCAUCGUAAGAUGUGAGGAAGGUGGGGAUGACGUCAAAUCAGCACGGCCCUUACGUCCGGGGCUACACACGUGUUACAAUGGGGGGUACAGAGGGCCGCUACCACGCGAGUGGAUGCCAAUCCCAAAAACCUCUCUCAGUUCGGACUGGAGUCUGCAACCCGACUCCACGAAGCUGGAUUCGCUAGUAAUCGCGCAUCAGCCACGGCGCGGUGAAUACGUUCCCGGGCCU